GAACUCUGGAGAAUCUCACUUUGAGUGGGUGCCGAAGGUGCAAGGGGCAAAACCCCGAAUCUCUCAGGCAAAAGGACAGAGCC
RNAcentral lists this non-coding RNA (83 nucleotides) under pig gut metagenome. RNAcentral's name for it is "Glycine riboswitch". It matches the Rfam family "Glycine riboswitch aptamer", at positions 9 to 86 of the family's 94-position model. Rfam says of the family: This family represents the bacterial glycine riboswitch. Glycine riboswitches usually consist of two metabolite-binding aptamers domains with similar structures in tandem. The record is from RNAcentral.